GUGGGGAAUAUUCCGCAAUGGACGAAAGUCUGACGGAGCAACGCCGCGUGAGUGAUGAAGGUUUUCGGACUGUAAAGCUCUGUUGUUUAGGACGAAAGUGCCUGUUGCAAACAGUUACAGGUAUUGACGGUACUAAACGAGGAAGCCACGGCUAACUACGUGCCAGCAGCCGCGGUAAUACGUAGGUGGCAAGCGUUGUCCGGAAUUAUUGGGCGUAAAGAGCAUGUAGGCGGGAAUCUAAGUCUGUUGUGAAAAUGCGGGGCUCAACCCCGUAUUGCGAUGGAAACUGGGUUUCUUGAGUGCAGGAGAGGAAAGGGGAAUUCCCAGUGUAGCGGUGAAAUGCGUAGAUAUUGGGAGGAACACCAGUGGCGAAGGCGCCUUUCUGGACUGUGUCUGACGCUGAGAUGCGAAAGCCAGGGUAGCGAACGGGAUUAGAUACCCGGGUAGUCC
Molecule: ribosomal RNA, 450 nt
Filed under: uncultured bacterium
Lineage: Bacteria
Description: partial 16S ribosomal RNA
Rfam family: Bacterial small subunit ribosomal RNA
Source: RNAcentral